RNA transcript from Eptesicus fuscus (big brown bat), 2735 nucleotides. It is a transcript of the gene named prolactin receptor, with no coding region annotated. The record is from RefSeq and is a predicted model, not a curated record. Lineage: Eukaryota; Metazoa; Chordata; Mammalia; Chiroptera; Vespertilionidae. The transcript has 2 exons.
CCUAACAAUCAUGCCUCCAUUUCUUUUUCUUAAAAUAGUUGGAAUCUGGUAAGCAUGGAUUCCCCUCUCCCAAAUCGUAUUUCAUCCUAAAGCCUCUAGAGAAUAUAGUUUUGGAGAGUGAGGUUUUCUUACACGGGAGGCAAAUGAGUUUGACGUGGUGAAUCCUCCUAAAAUGGUUUCCUGCUUCAUUUCAAUACGACAGAUAAUUUAUUAUACACCCUAGUCUUCUCUUAGUGGAAAAAAAAAUCCCCAAGGACUAACUUUAAUUUCAAAAAUAACCACAGCGGAAUGGUCAUGGAGAUACUGCCUUACUGUACAUACAGAUUCUACUUUAAUACCAGACCCAUAUGUUUAACAAUGUAUUUUUGAAGACUAUUUUUCUACCACUUAGGUGAAGUAAAAGAACAUUUUCUAUCUUCCCAGUACAGCUGUUUACGUAGUCAGAGGGUACAGUCUUUUCUGCCGAGGCUGAGGGAGCAUUUACAGUCCAUAACAGUAUACGCAGUCCCCAUUUGUGGAGCGAAUGCCAUACCAACCAACGCCCACUGAGGAAUGUGAAGUGGGUGCCAAUAUUCAAUUUCCAAUACAGCAUAGUAUAGUUUAUCUGGUUCUUUUAUCUCCAGAUACACUAAACAAUCACCAAUAGCGUGUCAGGACUCUCCACACACAGAAUUAUUUCUCCUGUAAUUUAGGGCUAAUCUGGGGCUCCUGCUCUUCUCUGGGUGAAUAUUCUAGAAGCCAUCGUGAAAAAGGAGGGUGGUGACAUCCAGCAUACUGUUUUGGAGAGAGGGUUUUGUUUUGCUUUGUUUUCCUGAGCAAUCUUGGACAGCAGAGGUAUUUUCAGCAAAGCCGUGAGUUAGUUAUCUCUCUGGAGCAGAUCCAUUUGCAAAAUCUUGGCAGAAGCAGAGAUAACACUCGCGUCAGAAGUUUCCAAAUAAAUGUUUUAAGAAAUAGCAUCUGUGGAGUGGUGGGCACAGCUACAAAGACCAGGGUCUGGUAGUAAGGAUCUCUGAGUUAGUGCCAGGGGCAGGCUCCCCAGGAGGGAUCAGAAGCCUGGGUCUCCAUCUUAACGAGAGCAUCCAUAACUCAUGAGCUGCCUCCCUCUCUUGUUUAUUUCACCUGAUGGCAAAUACUUUCUCUGUGUCCACUCACCAGCUGGACUUAGAGAAUCUGAGCUCACCUCUGUGAGUUAAGUAUUCCACCCAACAAGCCCAUGUUGAUAGGAACUGGACGCAGAGGUGACCUGAUGUUGGAAAGCGAACACACUGUCCUGGCAUCCAGAUUGCAGAAAUAAUAGACCGGAGGCUCUGUUCUCCCAAUACAUAAACAUCGUAAGAGUACGCGGAACAUUUGGAAAAUUUGUCCCCAAGUUCAUUCAGUCCCCUAGAUCCUUGCUACUCAGAGUCUGGUCUGAGGACCAGGUGUGUCAUCAUCACCCGGGCACUGCAUGGAAAUGCAGAUCUCGGCCUCCCUGGCCCAGAACUAAAGAGUCAUUACCUGCAUUUGACUAAGUUCCCCAGGUGACCCGUGUGGGUAAUGAAGUUUGAGGAGUAUUGCCCUUCAUGCCCACUUCCCCUAAAAGCUGUUUUAGCACAUGGACAUGCCUCUCUUGGAAAGUACAAGUCAAGUCUGUUUGACUUACACUGGACAAUACUGUAUGGAAGGAGAAGGCAUAGAUUUUAAAAUCUAUUUGAGCUUUAAGAUUCACAUGAUGGUACAGCAUGGCCUGCGAAAGGACACACAACUUCUAAGAAGGCCAAGGGAUAUAGUCCACCUUGAGUAGCACUGACCAAGACUCUGCCCUUCAAAGCCAAUGCAGACUAAAAUGUCCCCCAAAUAGUCCAUUGUUCUCCAAGAUGUACUAGUCUAUCAAUCACUCUGGUAGCUUGCAAAUUAAAAGAGUCUGCUGUGGAAACCAAAGCAAUGUUGAAGCAGUCUGUGUCCUCUGUAAAGCCAUAUUGAAGCAAAGACUGUGUGAUAGCAUCAAGUUCCAUAUUUUCAAAGCUACCACUACCUCUGCUUUGUCUCUUUCCUAGAAAAUGCCAAGCAGAACUAUUCACCAUUAAGUGGGAAAUGAGAAGUGAUUGUUACAAAAGCUGUUGGAUAGGUUGGUUGGUUUGUUUGUUUGUUUUCACUUGAGACUACACCUUCUAAUUCACCAUUUUGCAGGUUUAUGCUAGGUUGUCUCAAGAGCCAUUUUUACAUCUACUAAAAACUGGAUGGUGAAUAAGGACCAGAAAGAACACAUAGUAAGUCACUGAUGAAAAACCAACAAAACCAGAGAGCAGACUUUUUUCCUAACUAUAAAUCACCUGUUGCCCAAAGUCAUGAUGAUGUUUUCUCUCACAAUUUGAUUUCCCUAAUUCCAUGUAGAAAUAAAUCUUUUCCUUAUUUGAUUUUAGACAUCAAAUAUAUUAUGGUAUGAGAAAAGUCAAUCAUAUAUCAUAACUAAUCUUGUUUUGAUUUUUAAAAUUUAUUUCUAAAUGUACUUAUUAUAAUGAUGAUUUUGUUUCUUUUUAGCCUUAAAGAAUUAUAGAUGAUAAUCAUCCAACCUGCAUUUUUAAUUCUGUAAAUCUUUGGUUAUUGAACCUUGGGCUUUCUGUUUUCCGUGGAUUUACUCCUUUGUCUCUUUCCAUUUUAAGGAGACAACGUGGAUAGUUACAUCUUUGUCAAUCGUAUGGGAGAUUAUGCUAACUGCUGUUCUCCUAACAUCUUCAUCUUUUCUGCACGCCGAA